This 460-nucleotide ribosomal RNA is filed under the name uncultured bacterium. RNAcentral describes it as "partial 16S ribosomal RNA". It matches the Rfam family "Bacterial small subunit ribosomal RNA", at positions 338 to 795 of the family's 1533-position model. The record is from RNAcentral.
CCUACGGUGAGCAGCAGUGAGGAAUAUUGGUCAAUGGACGAGAGUCUGAACCAGCCAAGUAGCGUGAAGGAUGACUGCCCUAUGGGUUGUAAACUUCUUUUAUAUGGGAAUAAAACGUUCCACGUGUGGGAUUUUGUAUGUACCAUAUGAAUAAGGAUCGGCUAACUCCGUGCCAGCAGCCGCGGUAAUACGGAGGAUCCGGGCGUUAUCCGGAUUUAUUGGGUUUAAAGGGAGCGUAGGUGGAUUGUUAAGUUCGUUGUGAAAGUUUGCGGCUCAACCGUAAAAUUGCAGUUGAAACUGGUAGUCUUGAGUACAGUAGAGGUGAGCGGAAUUCGUGGUGUAGCGGUGAAAUGCGUAGAUAUCGCGAAGAACUCCGAUUGCGAAAGCAGUUCACUGGACUGCAACUGACACUGAGGCUCGAAAGUGUGGGUAUCAAACAGGAUUAGAUACCCCAGUAGUC